AUUGCUAUUUGUUACUAAAAUUACAUUCAUUCUGUAAAAAAAUAAUGAAAAAUAUUUUUUUAUUUUUUUUUUAUUUGGGACGCAUGAAUGGGAUUUACAUUAAUUUCAACGUGUAAGUUCGUUUUGGUUUAUGAGUGUUUUGGUGUGCGGGCAAAGUUUUGAAACGAAUUAAACUCGUAAACCGAGGUUUGACUAUACAGUCGUCCCUCAAAUAGUACAGUUUCCAAUAGUACGUUUUUGGUUUUAUACAGAUUGUCAUGGAAGAUUUUUUUUAGGAUUUUUAAAUUUUCCGCUUAUCAAACCAAGUAGCCAUGGCAUGAGUGGCAACACUGUUCUACCAAAACACACACUGAAAGCACCCCAAAGCGUUCGAGAUAGGUGUUCACCUUGCAGAAGAAUUCAGAUUUAGAAGCUAUGUUUUGGGGCGAGUUAUGUUGCCGUAGGGAGAGCAUACCAUGUGAAUGAGAGCAGUGUUCGCUGUAUCUAUUAUCUAUGUCUUGGUUUUGGUUCGGGAUGUAGUUGUCCCUUUCGGUCCCAACUACAGCCUUUGAAAUGGCUUACUCCCUCAGGGCCAACACCCUGAAAAUCAGUGUAAAAGAAAUUCUUGCCACAGUAACUGCCAGUGCUCCAAGAGUGCGGUAAGAGUGGAGAUAAAGGCCAUUAUUUUACUAAGCCUCGUUGUUGCUAUGGUAACGGCAUCUUACUUGCAGCAAAGUGGCGUACGCUGAUCUUCCUGGUGACAUUUAACAUGCAUUACUAGCUGUCCUGGCUGACGAACUCUUUACAACGGAUGAAAAGGAAGCUGCAGUGGUUAUAGUGGCACAGAGAUGUGAAAUGCAAUGGAAACACUUAUAUGUGUUUGUUUGGGCCGCCAUAUUUGCUGAUGACGUCAUCACAGCAUGAAGGUGCUCUGCCUCUCAAAGUCGGGAGCGAGUGGACGUGCCAAGUUGGCAAUUCGUGCUGCCGCGUCACUCGUUUGAGAGCACUCGGGACGUUCCGAGAGUCCCAGUUCCCUCUCUCAAACGCAGCCCAGGAGUGUUUCUAAGGGGGGCACUAAUUUUAUACGGAUUUUCAAAUAGUACGGGGAUCCUGGGUCCCUAACCCCCGUACUAUUUGAGGGAUGACUGUAUAUAUAUUUAUAUAUAAAUUAUACAUAAGCAUGCAUAAAAAGAAUUCACACACCUUACAUAAAAAAUAUGGACAUAAUAUUUACUUGACAACAACUGUAGGAUGCCCUGAUAGUCUGACAGAAAUCAAUAAUUAUUUUAGAAUAGAAACUUUACAGGUCUAGCCUGCAGUGAGUGGCAAAAUACUGUACUGAAACAAAAGGCUGUACAUCAAGGAGGGAAUUAUUGAAUGUUCUUGUUUGGACUUGUCUUAAGUCUCCGGAGUACAAUCCCUGGGAGUAAUGGCAGACAUUGUUGAACACCCAUUUUGACCCUUUGGUUUCUUUUCUUUUCUUUUUUUCUUUACUGUUGAAAUUACCAUCAUUUUUUUUUCUUUGUGAUGGCAAGUUUUCAUAUCUAAAUGGAUACAACGAUGAGGGCAUAAGGAAGGUGAAUGACUUGCUGAGCACACACCACAACAGCAGCAUGAGUCUCAGAUGGUGAUUACAACCGUGACCUACCAGCCCAGUAUUGUGAGAGCUUGAAUGUAACUUCGCGGGAUUACAAAGGACUGCAGGGUGGAAGUAGGCCCACACUGUCCCUUGGAAAUGGGUUUUGUCAGACAUGUAAUCUCAACCAAACCCUUAAAGUGCGGGCUCUGGCGGAUUAUACGCCCAUCCACCCUGACAACUAUGACAAGGAAAUAGAGGAUUACAGAUGCGUGGAGGAAGGGAGCGCGCCAGCGGGCCCUUGUUCCUCUACCCCUAAACUCAUGGAGCGCGCUAAGCCAUCGUAUAAGGGAAUUUUGAAUAACAGCGGUAUCAUAAGAGCCCUGUUCGAUGAGAAGCUUUCUCCGUUGGAAAGUGGUGAUUCAGGGUCUGAGGAGUUAGAAGAUGAAUUAGAACAGAUUGGGGCACAGUCUGUUUCUGUGGCUGCUGUUCACAACACGCUGCCUCGCACCACCACAACACAGUCUUUUCCUGCCUUUCCAAUCACAUCUACUGUCAAUGAAAGUGACGAAGAGCAUGUUGAUGAUCUUGGGAAGGUAAAUGACUCGAGAAGCGAGACAGAGGCUGAGAGAAGUGUGGCUCCAAAACGUAGUUGCCGCUGGCCCUGCCACCAUCAAACGACCUCCCCCACACUUUCAUCUUCCACACCCUCAUCACCCACACCUUCAUCCUCCACACACUCAUCACCCACACCUUCAUCCUCCACACCCUCAUCACCCACACUAUCACCCACACCUCCAUUGUCUGCGUUCACUGCAUCACACCCUUCACCACCUCGACGUAAGAGAGCAUGAGGAUGUGUCCUUGGGACUCGGCGUGGUAUCAGGGGUGGCCGACGUGGUGUUGGUGCCCGUCGUGGGGUUCAUGAUGCUCGUGGUAUGCAACCACAGCAGGUCCGUCAUGAUAAGGAGUUACUUUUAUGUAAGCUACAAACAUGCAUAAUAUGUAGCCUAGUAAGUGUAUAUAUUCUAUAAUUUAUUGUGUUUGUGAAAGCUUUUUUUUGUGCAUAUAAUGGCAAAAAACACAUUCACUUUCGUAAGGAGUUAUUUGUAUGACCAUCAGACAUGCGUAAUAUGUAGCCUAAUAUGAAUAAUUGCAUUGGUAGGAGAGGAUGCAUGCAGUGUGGUGGCGCCGGGCGAGGCAGGAGACCCAGGUCCAGGUCAGCAGCGCCAGCACGAACAAGUGCGCUCGGCUUGGCCAAUAAUAGCACCUCUUCCCAACAUCAUAUCUCUGCUGUGCUACAACCUAGACACUCAAUUUAUUUCAUUGUGGAGAGGAAGGAUUGGCAGUGAGAAAACAGUAUAAAUUAUCAUGUUUUCGUUUGAAAUUGCCACACAGGGCAUUGAUGAAAAACAGCUAUUUUUCCAAAAUUUAUUAACACCGCCCACACGCUGCGAGGACGACAAUAGUCCUCUAGCCCGAUGUCUAUGGGUUAAUUUCAGAAUACAAUAUAGAUGGCUACAGUCUCUUCAACAAAGAUCGCAUCAACCAUAGCCCAUUAUGCCAUAAGCUAUUUGCAACCCACUGAUAGAACACCAAGGAUCAUAUUGAACAUAUGUGGAUGGAAGUAAAUACUGUGAAAAAUAAAAUGAUAAGAAAGGAGAGAGCCAUACAGCUUGAUGGAGGAGUAUAAUGUUGGUUUUAGCACUUUAUGGGCCGCUUUCACAGUCACGUUUGUUUAUGUUGAUCGUCACCAAUGAACGUCGAUCGCUGCUACCAACAAGAAAUCCGCUUUCACAGUCGCCUUUUGCAGCGCUGUUUGUUUGCAUCAGUACCAGAGAUUGGAACCUCUGGUAACAGAGCUCUGGUAGCUGUGGGGGCUCCCCAAUGGAACUCACCAAUGACAUUAAUUAUUAGUAAAUAGUAUAAAUUCUUGCUCUCAAGUGGUUGUUAUUUAUUUAAAUGGAUGUAAAAAAAUAUUAAACAGUACAGCAACACGUUGCAUGGCCUCAAUGGUAAUAAGAGAAAACAAUUAGAAGACUUUGAAUUACGUGAACUCACUUCACCUGCUGACCAGUAAACGUCCUGCUGAGAAUUUCAGUUUGAUUGAUUGUUUAUUGUUGCAAAAUGCACAAUAAAGGAGAAGGGAGGACUUUAAUACUUGUCACCAUUAUUCACUUGUUAUGCCUUCUUGGUCAAACUCUCGUAUUAUUCUCGAUAGCCUCAUGUAUGCUUGCAUAGGGCAUACAUAUAACGAAAUCAGCCCAGUUAUUUAAUGAAUAAACGUGAAGUCUGCUAAAUAAGUGUGAAUAAUGAACAAAUGUAAUGCAAGUGAAGAGACUGUCUUGCUGACAUCUGCUAAAUAAUAGAACAUUAAUAUUUUUUAAUUUUUUAUUUAUUUAUUUAUUUUUUUUUUACGUCACGGCCUAUUGCGCCGGUAGGCUUCUUCCUGGUGGGGCCUGAUGGUCGGCCCAAGGCUUCUUCCCGGUGGGCCCUGAUGGUCGGCCCAGCCUGUUCUUGCGCAGGCGAGUGUUUAUAGUGGCGCCAUCUUGCAUUGGCUCAUGCUGCCCUCCUGGAGCUCAUCUUUAAUUCUAGAAUCUAAAGUCUGGGUUGAUAGGUGGUCUUCUGGACAGCAUGUGGGUAGUUGUAAGCCACUCGGUGGUGGCUGAAAAAUCCCAGCUUGGUGGCACCGGGCAGGGAUUAAACUCGCAUCCUCCUGAACGCUGAAGGAAGUAUUUGGUUAUCAGCAGAUUUGAGCGGUGUAUUACAGCGAGACACUCCACAUUUUUUCAUCAUAUCUAUUCUUCAGUUUUUCUUUAUAUUUAUUUUUCACGUUUACUUUUUGUACGUUUAUUUUUCACAUUUAUCCUUCAUAAUCCUCCGCUCAGCUGAUUUAAUGCUGACAUUUCCCACAGCUCCGUCAUACCAACACUGCUGAAUCACGUGCCUUCGUCUUGUCAUGAUCAUUACCACGCUGGUAGUCACCGAUACCAUGAAAACAGCGACUGUGAAAGCGGAUGGAGGCGAUGGUAACGGCUGCCACCAGGAUGGUAGGGCCUUUGGUUACGGUGCGUACCAGAUGACUGUGAAAGCGGCCCUAUGACAUCAAAACCCAGUCCAAUCAGCUCGAGAUUUUUUUUUUAAGAGCGAGUCCAUUGAGGCCACAGAAAAGCAUGAAACACUACAGGAGCUGAAAAUGGAGGUGUUGGAUCAGGCAUUACCUGAAUGUUUUUGUCUGCAUAGCUAGGUCUGCAGGUGCCAUGCUUUCUGCCCCACCCCUGAUUGAAAAGGCACGUGAAAUACAAGACAUUUAAACAUUUGAAAAGUGUGUUCUCUCAUGAAAGGUUAGAUUGGUUUAAAUCCCUGCAUGGGAUAUGUAAACUAUAGUCUGUCCAAAUAAACUUGGCCAAUUUGCACUGAGAAGCCCCUCCCCCAUACUGGCUAAGCUCCGCCCCCUUUCACCUGAUUGACGGUUCAUGACGUCACAUAUUGUUUCAGAGAUACGUACCAAAUACCGUAUUUUACGGCUUACAAGAUGCACUUUUUUUCCUAAAAAAUACCAUGAAAAAUACUUGUGCGUCUUCCAAGACGAAUGUUGUAUUGUGGCAGCAACGUCCAGGUUCGAGUGAGCUUGGACGGUCACCGUAUUGGCUCGACCGAUAGGGAUGUGGAAUUGUAUGUUGUCAUUACAUUAUGAGAUUAACUUAAGUAACUAUUUAAUUCAGCCUUUUAUAUGAUAUAACCUCAGUACUUACUUGUUACAAGUAUUUCCAAUACCAUAAACCUUCCUGGAGCCAAGCCACAAGCCCAAAUGUGACCCAAACGUCUGUUGUUUAUUGUGCGGCUGGUAGCGGCGGGAGCCAUUCCGCUCUUGAUCUUGAUGGUACAGGUGGCUUAUUUCCAUAGACCAGCAAGCCUUUGGAUCGGCUGUGUUUGGAUCUGCUGUGUUGAUGUGUUGUCUCCUAUGCACUUUUAUGGAAAUAAAACCACCCUUGGACCAUGAAAGAUGUAUGGUAUAUUUACUAACCACCAACUAGUAUGUCAUCGCCAUAUGGACAAAAUCGGACGAGUGAUGAAUGUAAACAAACCAAUAGCCUACAUGCCGCCAUGUUUAUGUCGGGGACCCACUGUUUCAGUGUGUGUGUAUUUACCAACGGUAGUUGAAUUUGCCUUGUACAUUUGUGGUGAGUGCUCCAGCAAACGCGUGGUGAGUGCUGAGACAAUAAAUAGUUUUAAGAAAAGGUUACAUAAAUUCAUGGAUAUGGUGAAGCUGUUCUUGUGUGAGAAUGACUUAAUUUUUUUUUUCUUAAAAUUUCUCUCCAAUAUUAGGGUGCGUCUUCCAAGAUGCAGCGUCUUGUAAGCUGUAAAAUACGGUAUGUAUGAUUGAGAUAAUCUAGCUAGUUUCAUGAUUAAAAAAUAUUUGUAGUUUAAUUGAAUGACGGCACUCUAAUUUAACCCUUUCCUUGCUAAGCGCUCACAACGAGACUAUCCUCGGGCACCCCAGCGGGGGAAGGGGAUCUCUUUGAGAUACAGCGGUUAGCUGUAUCUCAAAAACUAUUCAUCACAGCUACAAAACAAAAACACCAUUGGAAAGAGGAGGCCAAGAUCUAUAAGAUUCAGUUAUGUAAGCCUCUCCUGCAAAUGUACAGGCACUUUCAGGGUGUGUUUUUUGCUGCGAGUGCCACUGGCGCUCGCAGCGAGCUUUUAGCACCACCAGCAAGUGACGCUAGUGCUCGCUAUUUUAACCUCUGAAUCUCAAAAACUAUUCAUCACAGUUAAAAAACAAAAACCAUUGGAAAGAGGAGGCCAAGAUCUAUAAGAUUUGGUAAUGUAAGCCUCUCCUGCGAAUGUACAGACACGUUCAGGGGCUGUUGCCUGUGAAGACGUACAUUUACACGUGCGCGACGGUCAGCUGUAAGGCAACUACUGAGUAGAUCUCUUGAUGAUGGGGUUCUGGCAGGGCAGUAUUGCCAACUGCAAAAUUUACAACUAUUUGGUCAAAAUAUCAGUCAUGUGAUAGGUGAAGCUAUGCAAAAAUACCUCUAUAUGGACAACAACAUCCACCAGUUGCUUGUCCGUAGAUUUUCCGCACUAGGCUGAUAUGAUUUUCCACCAAAUUUAAUGGAAAACCCAUUGAAUUGGCAAUGCUGUGGGGUGAGAAAUAGUGUUGGAACACUCUUAUGCGGCAAAUUUGAGUGCGACUGGAGCUCGCAGCAAGCGUUUAGCACCACUGGCAAGUUAUGCUAGUGCUACUGCGAGCGUUUAGCAACAAAAGUGUUAACAAUCAAUGACAUCACCUAAGAAACAAAGUACAAUACUACUACUACCAGUUUUCAAGGGAGAGCGAGCCCUUCAAAACAAUACAGCAGCAGCAUUGAAGACGAUAGUAGGCUAUCUAUAAAGUAAUGUACACUUUCCGUCAUUAUUUCCUACAUAACUCAUUCACAUAGGCAUACUAAAUAUAAUCACAUAAAAAGUAUCUUCUACAGUAACUUCAUACAGGUAGGAAUCAUUGUACAGUAAACCCUCAGUUAUCCGGGUGCACCGUAUCCGACCUUGCCUGUAUCCGGGAGUUUAAAAAAAAAAAAAGGUUUUCAAAAAAAAAAAAAAAAAAAAAAAAAAAAAAAAAAUUUGUUGCGCGCUGUCAAAAGUCAUUCAAAUUGCCCGCAUGAUGCCUCUAAGCUCUGCCCGGGCGGUGUACCGCACCCGUAAGGCGUGCCCCAGCUUGCACGUAGCAAUGAUAUUGAUGUCCUUGUGUGAAGGUUCGCAGGAAAGCUGUGUGCUUCGCAGUACAACUGGCACGUAAACGUUUUUGCCGAGCGCUACCGACCAUAUCGAAGUGACGAGAGUCAAGGCAUUGCAGGUUUAAAUGGCGGGAGUGUCAAUUAAAGAACUGUUCAAAUGAAACACAGUGUGAACCCUAGCUUAAGCCUUGAUGGCUGCCUACCGUAAAUCCAGACUGGACUAGGUGAGUAGCGUUCCAUCCCCGUGGAGAAGGUGUGCAGGUCCGCUAGCACUACUGCGGGAGUUGGGGCGGAAUACGAAAUGCGGAUAAGUACCGCCCUCGGUCCGACAUGUGAAAGAAGGAUUUUACCAUGCUUACGGUAAGGCGAGUAAAGGGGCCCGCAGAGGUUCGGGAGUCCCGUGGGCCAGCCAGAUCUGGAGGUGCGGGCUGGCCGUAAAUCGUGGCUACUUUUUGUGGCUGGCCUCCCCGUGGUCCUGCUGGAUGCACUGUGCAGGGGGUACCUGCCCCCCCUGGCUCGCAAGGGCAACACAGUGUAAUUAAACAGCCACAGAUCACCACGCAAGCAGAUGCGGCAGGUUGUCAUUGACUCCUUGGUUAUCCUCCCCACUCACACUCAGAGUGGGGUGGCCUGGCGUACUUGCCCGGCGUCUAUGGGCCUUCAGGCUCCUUGCCGGGCUUCAAAGGGUAUUGCCCUGGGGUGGUUGCCUGGGCGUCCGUAUAGAAGCCUGCUUUGAGCACUUGAUCCCCGUUGCCGGCCUAUACCGUUUCGGGUAUCGCUCUGGUAUGCCUUCUGAUUGACCUGGGUGGUAAAGCUCGCGGUGCUCAUGGCCACGAGGUUGCUAACGCAGCUACGCAGCGAUAAAGCCGCGGGCGCGCACCUAAGAACAGCACAGAGUGAUCGGCCUUCCAGUUUGGUAAAACUAGACCCGUAAAAAGUUUCUUGUGGCAGUGCUGGGUCUGCUAGAAAACCUACGUGGUAAACAUGAUUGUGCAGACUUGGGCGGUUAAGCUGCCACAAAUACCUGGGCUUUGCUGGGUUGGGUCCAGGCCCCACUGCUAUGAUUGGCCAGGCAGGGGAACAUUAGCUGCUGCCUGUGAACACAGGGCUAGGCACCCCAGCAAUGGAUUAGCGGUUGAGGCUGUCGCGCCUAAUUGCCGAAUCCCAAGUAACAGAUCCUCCCAAGGUGCAGCAGGAGUGCGAUAAGCCAGGGAGAGAUUGCCGCGAGUGCUAACCGUGACGCCACUGCUUGAACCCUUUUCUCAGCGCCCAGAGCACGUCAAUCACGCACAUUUCACUCCCUGGUUCAGACUGACUGCUACAAAGCCAUGGGGCGUACCAUAGUAUGAGUAUGGACAGAAGCAUCUAUGCAGUACUCUGCCGUUGCCUAUAUGGCAGGCCAUGAUUGAAAGCUGGGUUUUCAGGUCCGUAGACUUAACCUACGCCAUAUCCGGGUUUUUCCCAUAUCCAGGUGCCCCAUUGGCUCCAUUAAGGAGACCGACUGAGUAAAAUCCCAUCUUCUUUCCUUAUCACCCAAAUUGCAGAUUUGAUUUUUUGAUGAUUUGUUUUGCAUAAGUGAAUCUAUAGUGAAUGUUUGAGCAACUUUGGUCCAUAUUUCGUUUCUUUUUUAAUCAAAAUGCCAAAAUAUAAAAAAAAACAUUUGGAUGAAUACUGACUAGGCUUUCCUUUAUAAUUCCUUGCAAAAUUGUCUGACAGUAGUUUACAUCGUUGGUAAGAAAGCUGUUGUGGCAGAAUGGUUAUUUUCUCUUUAGUUUAUGAGCAAAAAAGAAAUAUUCCAUUUUCCCCUGUUUAAUUAUAUCUUUAAAAAUGUAAAAGUUCCAAAGCAAAUUUUUAAAAUUCUGAGACGAAAGAAAAAAAGCCAUUUUAAUGCUCUUUCCACCAGUACCUUAUUCAUUAAAAUCGAAUGAUAAAUGUAGGAGUUAUUCACCAAUUUAUUGUAAAAAGUUAGUUUUGAGUUACGGGGCUUUAAAGUUACGUAAGUACAUAUUGAUGUUCCUCGUCCAUGAAUGGCCACACUGUGCCAAAUAUUGUUAGUACCAGGUAUUGUAAUGUUGUUGUCUUGCUAUUUAGGUGAUCUUGAGUCAUGAACAUGGCACCUGAUCCCACUUCUUGUAGAAGUAUUACUCACUCAAAGGUGAGGGUGUCAGGGAGCCUCCGCCUCCCUCAUUGUUUCCAGUCUUUGUUUGCAUCGCUUGGUGUAGAAACUAUCUGGCUGGUAGGAUUUGCUUCCUUCCUUUUCUGUUUUUAUCUUCUUUCAUGGUUGUGAUCUGUCAGAAGCUCUGUCUCCUUGUCUUGUAUUCAUUUUUACUUUUUUUUUUUUGUUGUUGUAUGGUGAGAUGGGCUCUUCUCUCUUGAAACUGAAGUAGAAGGCUGUGGUAAUGAUGGUGUUGAUGCAGAAGCAUCAGGAACAGCAGUCGUGGCAGCAGGGAAUGAGGGAGAGGUGGUGGCGAGUGAGGCAGCAGCGGUGGGUGGUGGAGAGUCAGGCCUCGCUGCUCGAGCAUGGCGUGCCUUCUUCAAGCAGACAAUCCUCUUGACAAUGGCAGCCUUUCUUCUUGGCAUUUGAACUGGAUGAAGCGAGCAUCAGCAGCAGUUUAGUCAUAAGAGGAAAAAAAAAAGGCAGUGUGGGGGGAGAGUGUACACACCUACGUCUAUCCUCUGUGUGACAAGGACACGCACUGAUGAAUUAUGGUGAGAGCUACGGAACAGUAUUGUCCCGUGCGCACAGGAGAAAAUAUCAGACACCACCAGAGAGAAAACUAUUCGUGUCUAAAUACUACAGUGUUUUUCUUACAAUUUUUUUUCUAAAGGCAUCUUCUGCCCCACGUGACUGACUGAGCGCGCGGGGUGAUAUAAACGGCAAUUUAAGCGACCAUUUAAACUCGGUCGGUAAAAAUUCUCCCUGUAAUGUUUUCUCUAUGCCCUUAGGGUGAUCAUUGACGAAGUUUCUCAUUUUCAAUAUUUUUUCGCAUUUUUCACCUCGGUCGGUCUCCUUAACCCGUAAAGUGUUUAGUACGUAUAUAUACGUUCGGGAGGGAAAGUGUUUAGUACGUAUAUAUACGAUCAUCGUUUUCUUUUACUUCAUGGCACCUAAACCUGUAGAAAUGGUUCAAGAUGUCUUUUCUAUGCCUAAAUAUGAUUUUGAAAGCUCACUCUCAUUUUUAUUGUAUUGCUGUGGUCUAUUACAUAGAAUGUAUCCAUGACCACGAAUGAUUUAUUGAAAAAAUAGGUAUAUUUAUAAAAAUAUGUCAGUGGUGUCAUAAUUACUUAUCAAUAUACUCAAAAUACUGUUCAGUAGA
This is a long non-coding RNA of Eriocheir sinensis (Chinese mitten crab), 10616 nucleotides long. RefSeq lists it as uncharacterized. The transcript has 3 exons. The record is from RefSeq and is a predicted model, not a curated record. NCBI's taxonomy places the organism in Eukaryota, Metazoa, Arthropoda, Malacostraca, Decapoda, Varunidae.